Molecule: ribosomal RNA, 641 nt
Filed under: uncultured Actinomycetes bacterium
Lineage: Bacteria; Bacillati; Actinomycetota; Actinomycetes
Description: bacterial SSU rRNA
Rfam family: Bacterial small subunit ribosomal RNA
Source: RNAcentral
CGCGGCCUAUCAGCUUGUUGGUGGGGUGAUGGCCUACCAAGGCGACGACGGGUAGCCGGCCUGAGAGGGUGUCCGGCCACACUGGGACUGAGACACGGCCCAGACUCCUACGGGAGGCAGCAGUGGGGAAUAUUGCACAAUGGGCGGAAGCCUGAUGCAGCGACGCCGCGUGAGGGAUGACGGCCUUCGGGUUGUAAACCUCUUUCACCAAGGACGAAGCGGGAGUGACGGUACUUGGGAAGAAGCACCGGCUAACUACGUGCCAGCAGCCGCGGUAAUACGUAGGGUGCGAGCGUUGUCCGGAAUUAUUGGGCGUAAAGAGCUCGUAGGCGGCUCGUUGCGUCUACCGUGAAAACUGGAGGCUUAACCUUCAGCUUGCGGUGGAUACGGGCGGGCUUGAGUUCGGUAGGGGAGACUGGAAUUCCUGGUGUAGCGGCGAAAUGCGCAGAUAUCAGGAGGAACACCGGUGGCGAAGGCGGGUCUCUGGGCCGAUACUGACGCUGAGGAGCGAAAGCGUGGGGAGCGAACAGGAUUAGAUACCCUGGUAGUCCACGCUGUAAACGUUGGGCGCUAGGUGUGGGUGACAUCCACGUUGUCCGUGCCGUAGCUAACGCAUUCAGCGCCCCGCCUGGGGAGUACGG